AUUGAACGCUGGCGGCAUGCCUUACACAUGCAAGUCGAACGGCAGCAUGAUCUAGCUUGCUCGAUUGAUGGCGAGUGGCGAACGGGUGAGUAAUACAUCGGAACGUGCCCUGUAGUGGGGGAUAACUAGUCGAAAGAUUAGCUAAUACCGCAUACGACCUGAGGGUGAAAGUGGGGGACCGCAAGGCCUCAUGCUAUAGGAGCGGCCGAUGUCUUAUUAGCUAGUUGGUGAGGUAAAGGCUCACCAAGGCGACGAUCAGUAGCUGGUCUGAGAGGACGAUCAGCCACACUGGGACUGAGACACGGCCCAGACUCCUACGGGAGGCAGCAGUGGGGAAUUUUGGACAAUGGGCGAAAGCCUGAUCCAGCAAUGCCGCGUGUGUGAAGAAGGCCUUCGGGUUGUAAAGCACUUUUGUCCGGAAAGAAAUGGCUCUGGUUAAUACCUGGGGUCGAUGACGGUACCGGAAGAAUAAGGACCGGCUAACUACGUG
Molecule: ribosomal RNA, 490 nt
Filed under: uncultured bacterium
Lineage: Bacteria
Description: partial 16S ribosomal RNA
Rfam family: Bacterial small subunit ribosomal RNA
Source: RNAcentral